GGGGGUCUAGAGAUGUAUUGCUGUCUACAACAUAGGUCUUUUGCAGUUUUCAAAGUUUUCAAAUUAAAAUAUUCUGGAGAUGUACUCUUCAGUUUGACCAUCAAUUAUCUUCUGAUGAGCGAAUAUUCAAAUUGUCUAUUGUUUACAAAAACAUAUAUUAUCAAUAAAGACAUUUAUGUGCAUUUACAAAGAUAAAAUAAUUAUUUUUAAACCAUUCAACG
RNAcentral lists this long non-coding RNA (221 nucleotides) under Mytilus galloprovincialis (Mediterranean mussel). The record is from RNAcentral. Lineage: Eukaryota; Metazoa; Mollusca; Bivalvia; Mytilida; Mytilidae.